UUUGGGCAAAUCCUGCAAAAUGGACUUCUUCCUAGCUUGUGGAAGGAGCAUUUUUAAGGGGUUAAAUAUUCUUCAGCUUCCGCUUGACAACUGAAUUUUGAAUUCACGAGCUGUGUCAUUCUCUCCGUAGCCACACAGGAGGGCCGUGCUCUGUGUAAUCUACAAAAACAAAGCCACCAGUUGUGAUCUUGCAAAAAGGACUACGACAAACAAGGAAAUGAGGGAAGGAAGGAAGGAAGGAAGAAAGGAAGGAAGGAAAGAAGAUGAUUUAACACAGUGUUUUCUCAUACUGUGAAUACAAUAUGGUUGCUGUGGGAGUGUAACUGAUGCGCCUCAUUAGACUUUGAGAUUGUGAGUAGAAGAUACCAAGACCCCGCCGAAUUAAUUUUAAUACUUGGAACACAAAACAUUGAUGCAAAUUUGCCAUUUGCCAGAAGCCAGCAGUUGGAGCGUGGUGAUCCUUCCCAUCUACUCAGCACUUCUGAGGCCAGACCUGGGGUGCUGGAUCCAGCACUGGGCUCCCAGAGAGACAUGGAACUACUGAAGAGAGCCUGUUGAAGGCCCACUAAGAUGUUUGAGAGACUGGAGCAUCUGUCCUAUGAGCAAAGAUUGAGAGAGCUAGGACUGCUCAACCUGGAGAAGAGAAGGCUCAGGGGGAUUUAAUAAACAUAUUUAAAUAGCUGAAGGGAAAAGGAUGGGAACAGGGUCUUUUUGGUGGUGCCCGGUGACAGGACCAGAGGAAAGGGCACAAACUGAAACACAAGAGGCUCCACAUGAACACCAGGAAACAUUUAUUCACGGUGAAGAUGACUGACCCCUGGCACAGGUUGCCCAGCGAGGCUGUAGUCUUCAUUCUCGGAGAUACUGAAAAGCUGUCUGGAGAUGGUGCUGGGCAAUGGGCUGUAGGUCGUCCUGCUUGAGCAGGGUGGUUGGACAAGAUGAUCUCCAGAGGUCCCUUCCAACCUCAAACAUUCUGUGACUCUGGGAAAAUUGUGAGGUUCGACCACAGAAAGCGUUUAUUUCUCUGGGCUCCUCAGGAAAUCCUUAUGAGUAAAUGCCCAAUUUCCAACAUAUUCUAGUCAGACAAAGGACCUGCAUGGUGGCAGACUCACGGAAUCAGAUCCUAAGCUAUCCCAUCGAGUUUAAAACCAAAAAGGAACAGUUGUGAUCUUCUAUUCUGACAUACAAUAUUGUGUCCCUACAUAUAUAGCUUGACAGGUCAUCUUUGUGUGUUAUUAGUUGUUACUAAUAAAGUUCACUGCAAUCAUUUCUCAGGACCAUCGGGGAAUGGCAUCCUAUUGUGUUGAGGGAACAGGACGGACUGCUAGAUAUUCCUAUGUCAUUCACAAUCUACUUUUCAUACACUGCUUGAAACAAUAAAUAGAUGAUCCAUAGCAACUCUAAGGAACAGAAAUGGUGAUGGCAUUCUUUGUCCGGCUUUCAUUUUUUGUUUUUGAUGGUAUUGAUUUAACCUUUAUGAAAAUUAAUCUCAGGAGAGGAACAGAGCCUGAAGAUUUUACUUUUAAGACUAGCAAUUUCCAAGAGCAAUUCCAAGCUGUUGCUCUUCCUGUUUUGGGGUUUUUUGUUUGUUUGGUUGGUUUGGUUUUUUUUUUAAUGGAUUGAUUUUCUUAUUUGAUAAAGCGAUUGCCAGCUAGUGCCUUGUAACUUGGCCAACCUGUUUUCGGGAGUCAUUCAUUCAUCUUAUUAUUGGCAAUAAA
Long non-coding RNA from Calidris pugnax (ruff), 1718 nucleotides. RefSeq lists it as uncharacterized. The record is from RefSeq and is a predicted model, not a curated record. NCBI's taxonomy places the organism in Eukaryota, Metazoa, Chordata, Aves, Charadriiformes, Scolopacidae. The transcript has 4 exons.